AGAACGAACGCUGGCGGCAUGCCUAAUACAUGCAAGUCGAACGAACUCUUCGGAGUUAGUGGCGCACGGGUGCGUAACGCGUGGGAAUCUGCCCUUGGGUUCGGAAUAACAGUUGGAAACGACUGCUAAUACCGGAUGAUGACGAAAGUCCAAAGAUUUAUCGCCCAGGGAUGAGCCCGCGUAGGAUUAGCUAGUUGGUGAGGUAAAGGCUCACCAAGGCGACGAUCCUUAGCUGGUCUGAGAGGAUGAUCAGCCGCACUGGGACUGAGACACGGCCCAGACUCCUACGGGAGGCAGCAGUAGGGAAUAUGGACAAGUGGGACGAAAGCCUGAUCCAGACAAUGCCGCGUGAGUGAGUGAAGGUCCGUUAGGUUAGUAAAGCUUCGUUUACCCGAG
This 396-nucleotide ribosomal RNA is filed under the name uncultured soil bacterium. Its description in RNAcentral is "bacterial SSU rRNA". It matches the Rfam family "Bacterial small subunit ribosomal RNA", at positions 26 to 445 of the family's 1533-position model. The record is from RNAcentral.